UUACGGGAGGCAGCAGUGGGGAAUUUUGGACAAUGGGCGAAAGCCUGAUCCAGCGACGCCGCGUGGAGGAUGAAGGUCUUCGGAUUGUAAACUCCUUUUGGAGGGGACGAAAAAAAUGACGGUACCCUCAGAAAAAGCCACGGCUAACUACGUGCCAGCAGCCGCGGUAAUACGUAGGUGGCGAGCGUUACUCGGAAUUACUAGGUGUAAAGCGCAUGCAGGUGGUUGGAUAAGUCCGUAGUGAAAUUUCCCGGCUUAACUGGGAAGGGUCUGCGGAAACUAUCCGGCUUGAGUGUGGGAGGGGUGGACGGAAUUCCUGGUGUAGCGGUGAAAUGCGUAGAUAUCAGGAGGAACACCGAUGGCGAAAGCGGUCCACUGGCCCAAUACUGACACUGAGGUGCGAAAGCUAGGGGAGCAAACAGGAUUAGAUACCCGUGUAC
RNAcentral lists this ribosomal RNA (440 nucleotides) under uncultured bacterium. RNAcentral describes it as "bacterial SSU rRNA". It matches the Rfam family "Bacterial small subunit ribosomal RNA", at positions 339 to 793 of the family's 1533-position model. The record is from RNAcentral.